RNAcentral lists this ribosomal RNA (497 nucleotides) under uncultured bacterium. Its description in RNAcentral is "partial 16S ribosomal RNA". It matches the Rfam family "Bacterial small subunit ribosomal RNA", at positions 28 to 507 of the family's 1533-position model. The record is from RNAcentral.
GAUGAACGCUGGCGGCGUGCCUAAUACAUGCAAGUCGAGCGAACGGACGAGAAGCUUGCUUCUCUGAUGUUAGCGGCGGACGGGUGAGUAACACGUGGAUAACCUACCUAUAAGACUGGGAUAACUUCGGGAAACCGGAGCUAAUACCGGAUGAUAUUUUGAACCGCAUGGUUCAAAAGUGAAAGACGGUCUUGCUGUCACUUAUAGAUGGAUCCGCGCUGCAUUAGCUAGUUGGUAAGGUAACGGCUUACCAAGGCAACGAUGCAUAGCCGACCUGAGAGGGGGGUCGGCCACACUGGAACUGAGACACGGUCCAGACUCCUACGGGAGGCAGCAGUAGGGAAUCUGCCGCAAUGGGCGAAAGCCUGACGGAGCAACGCCGCGUGAGUGAUGAAGGUCUUCGGAUCGUAAAACUCUGUUAUUAGGGAAGAACAUAUGUGUAAGUAACUGUGCACAUCUUGACGGUACCUAAUCAGAAAGCCACGGCUAACUACGUG